This 312-nucleotide ribosomal RNA is filed under the name Triticum aestivum (bread wheat). RNAcentral describes it as "partial small subunit ribosomal RNA". The record is from RNAcentral. Lineage: Eukaryota; Viridiplantae; Streptophyta; Magnoliopsida; Poales; Poaceae.
AUGCUCGCAAUCAGUCCGAAUGACAGCAAGUUUAGAAUAUUUUUUUUCCUGAUUCACAGAACAAUUUCAAUAGAUCUAAGCAAAGAUCGAUGGAUGCUUCAGAACAGUAGAGAGAAAGGAACAAAAAUAAUCAGGACACAGAGGAGGAUAUUUCGCAGCUAUGACGACUUGCAUUUUCUUCCAUUUAAACCGAGUUCAAACAUAGGAUAUUCCAACAUCACAUCCCAAUCCAUGACAGAAGGGAUUGCUGCAUCACCGACGACCGACCGACCAAGACUGAAAGAUAACACAUGUUGUUUCUUCCUCGCGUAA